AAGUAGUAAAAAUUCCCUUUUAGCGUGGCUCUUGCUGUCCUCAGGCUCACCCUCUUAUCAUGGAACCUCAUUAGGGCUCCAAGAGCUGCUGCUCUGCCAGGAAAAGCAGCUGGAAGGCGCUCUCCAAGGUGCUGAAGCAAGAGGAAACUCCACGCUGCUCCUGGAACUGUUGCCAACGUGAUUCAAGCGGAAUUGAGCACAUGGCACUGAGUUCCCACACAAACAAAGACGUUGCCACUUUCAGCGCGAUGGCCUCCUUCCUUCUGCCAGCCUGGGCCCCCCACCUAGUCCAGGCCAGGGAGACCGGAUGUCUGAUGACUGCUACCCACAUAAGCAAGAAAUGCAGUGACAAAGCGAUAGGAACAUUAAAGUACGCAGAAUACCCAUCUUCUCCAAG
This is a long non-coding RNA of Eptesicus fuscus (big brown bat), 397 nucleotides long. RefSeq lists it as uncharacterized. The transcript is spliced from 3 exons. The record is from RefSeq and is a predicted model, not a curated record. NCBI's taxonomy places the organism in Eukaryota, Metazoa, Chordata, Mammalia, Chiroptera, Vespertilionidae.